GGUCCCACCAGGUCCCGGAUGUUGGACAGGUCCCAGAUGUUAGACAGGUCCCACCAGGUCCCGGAUGUUGGACAGGUCCCGGAUGUUGGACAGGUCCCAGAUGUUGGACAGGUCCCACCAGGUCCCAGAUGUUGGACAGGUCCCGGAUGUUGGACAGGUCCCACCAGGUCCCGGAUGUUAGACAGGUCCCACCAGGUCCCAGAUGUUGGACAGGUCCCACCAGGUCCCGGAUGUUGGACAGGUCCCACCAGGUCCCGGAUGUUGGACAGGUCCCAGAAGUUAGACAGGUCCCACCAGGUCCCGGAUGUUAGACAGGUCCCACCAUGUCGCAGAUGUUAGACAGGUCCCGGAUGUUGGACAGGUCCCACCAGGUCCCAGAAGUUAGAC
This is a long non-coding RNA of Poecilia latipinna (sailfin molly), 387 nucleotides long. RefSeq lists it as uncharacterized. The transcript has 3 exons. The record is from RefSeq and is a predicted model, not a curated record. Lineage: Eukaryota; Metazoa; Chordata; Actinopteri; Cyprinodontiformes; Poeciliidae.